GUUUCAGCAGCCGCGGUAAUACGAAGGGGGCUAGCGUUGCUCGGAAUUACUGGGCGUAAAGGGCGCGUAGGCGGAUAUUUAAGUCAGGGGUGAAAGCCCGGGGCUCAACCUCGGAAUUGCCUUUGAUACUGGAUAUCUUGAGUUCGGGAGAGGUGAGUGGAAUGCCGAGUGUAGAGGUGAAAUUCGUAGAUAUUCGGCGGAACACCAGUGGCGAAGGCGACUCACUGGCCCGAUACUGACGCUGAGGCGCGAAAGCGUGGGGAGCAAACAGGAUUAGAUACCCUCGUAGUCC
This 292-nucleotide ribosomal RNA is filed under the name uncultured bacterium. RNAcentral's name for it is "partial 16S ribosomal RNA". It matches the Rfam family "Bacterial small subunit ribosomal RNA", at positions 505 to 796 of the family's 1533-position model. The record is from RNAcentral.